RNAcentral lists this ribosomal RNA (253 nucleotides) under uncultured bacterium. RNAcentral's name for it is "partial 16S ribosomal RNA". It matches the Rfam family "Bacterial small subunit ribosomal RNA", at positions 524 to 776 of the family's 1533-position model. The record is from RNAcentral.
UACGUAGGGCGCAAGCGUUGUCCGGAAUUAUUGGGCGUAAAGAGCUCGUAGGCGGUUUGUCGCGUCUGCCGUGAAAGUCCGGGGCUCAACUCCGGAUCUGCGGUGGGUACGGGCAGGCUAGAGUGAUGUAGGGGAGACUGGAGUUCCUGGUGUAGCGGUGAAAUGCGCAGAUAUCAGGAGGAACACCGAUGGCGAAGGCAGGUCUCUGGGCAUUAACUGACGCUGAGGAGCGAAAGCAUGGGGAGCGAACAGG